This 478-nucleotide ribosomal RNA is filed under the name uncultured bacterium. Its description in RNAcentral is "partial 16S ribosomal RNA". It matches the Rfam family "Bacterial small subunit ribosomal RNA", at positions 28 to 523 of the family's 1533-position model. The record is from RNAcentral.
GACGAACGCUGGCGGCGUGCUUAACACAUGCAAGUCGAACGGUAAGGCCCUUCGGGGUACACGAGUGGCGAACGGGUGAGUAACACGUGGGUGAUCUGCCCUGCACUUCGGGAUAAGCCUGGGAAACUGGGUCUAAUACCGGAUAGGCCUCCUGGCUUCACGGCUGGGGGUGGACAGCUUUUGCGGUGUGGGAUGGGCCCGCGGCCUAUCAGCUUGUUGGUGGGGUAAUGGCCUACCAAGGCGACGACGGGUAGCCGGCCUGAGAGGGUGACCGGUCACACUGGGACUGAGAUACGGCCCAGACUCCUACGGGAGGCAGCAGUGGGGAAUAUUGCACAAUGGGCGCAAGCCUGAUGCAGCGACGCCGCGUGAGGGAUGACGGCCUUCGGGUUGUAAACCUCUUUCAGCUAUGACGAAGCGCAAGUGACGGUAGUAGCAGAAGAAGGACCGGCCAACUACGUGCCAGCCGCCGCCGUAA